GGGUGCGGAACACGUACGCAACCUUCCUUUAAGCGGGGAAUAGCCCAGGGAAACUUGGAUUAAUACCCCAUAAGAUUAUGGUGUGGCAUCACACAGUAAUUAAAGCUCCGGCACUUAAAGAUGGGCGUGCGGCUGAUUAGGUAGUUGGCGGGGUAACGGCCCACCAAGCCUACGAUCAGUAACUGGUGUGAGAGCACGACCAGUCACACGGGCACUGAGACACGGGCCCGACUCCUACGGGAGGCAGCAGUAAGGAAUAUUGGUCAAUGGACGCAAGUCUGAACCAGCCAUGCCGCGUGGAGGAUGAAGGCCCUCUGGGUUGUAAACUUCUUUUAUCUGGGAAGAAACCGGACUUUUCUAAGGCCGUUGACGGUACCAGAUGAAUAAGCACCGGCUAACUCCGUGCCAGCAGCCGCGGUAAUACGGAGGGUGCAAGCGUUAUCCGGAUUCACUGGGUUUAAAGGGUGCGUAGGUGGGCAGGUAAGUCAGUGGUGAAAUCUCUGAGCUUAACUCAGAAACUGCCGUUGAUACUAUCUGUCUUGAAUAUAGUGGAGGUGAGCGGAAUAUGUCAUGUAGCGGUGAAAUGCUUAGAUAUGACAUAGAACACCCAUUGCGAAGGCAGCUCGCUACACUAUCAUUGACACUGAGGC
RNAcentral lists this ribosomal RNA (650 nucleotides) under uncultured bacterium. RNAcentral describes it as "bacterial SSU rRNA". It matches the Rfam family "Bacterial small subunit ribosomal RNA", at positions 104 to 752 of the family's 1533-position model. The record is from RNAcentral.